GCUCCAGUGGCGCAAUCGGUCAGCGCGCGGUACUUAUAAUGCCGAGGUUGUGAGUUUGAGCCUCACCUGGAGCA
This 74-nucleotide transfer RNA is filed under the name Danio rerio (zebrafish). Its description in RNAcentral is "tRNA-Ile (TAT) (tRNA-Ile-TAT-25-1)". It matches the Rfam family "tRNA". From Rfam's summary of the family: Transfer RNA (tRNA) molecules are approximately 80 nucleotides in length. Lineage: Eukaryota; Metazoa; Chordata; Actinopteri; Cypriniformes; Danionidae. The record is from RNAcentral.